Molecule: ribosomal RNA, 751 nt
Filed under: uncultured Stenotrophomonas sp.
Lineage: Bacteria; Pseudomonadati; Pseudomonadota; Gammaproteobacteria; Lysobacterales; Lysobacteraceae
Description: bacterial SSU rRNA
Rfam family: Bacterial small subunit ribosomal RNA
Source: RNAcentral
AUCCUGGCUCAGAGUGAACGCUGGCGGUAGGCCUAACACAUGCAAGUCGAACAGCAGCACAGAGGAGCUUGCUCCUUGGGUGGCGAGUGGCGGACGGGUGAGGAAUACAUCGGAAUCUACUCUGUCGUGGGGGAUAACGUAGGGAAACUUACGCUAAUACCGCAUACGACCUACGGGUGAAAGCAGGGGAUCUUCGGACCUUGCGCGAUUGAAUGAGCCGAUGUCGGAUUAGCUAGUUGGCGGGGUAAAGGCCCACCAAGGCGACGAUCCGUAGCUGGUCUGAGAGGAUGAUCAGCCACACUGGAACUGAGACACGGUCCAGACUCCUACGGGAGGCAGCAGUGGGGAAUAUUGGACAAUGGGCGCAAGCCUGAUCCAGCCAUACCGCGUGGGUGAAGAAGGCCUUCGGGUUGUAAAGCCCUUUUGUUGGGAAAGAAAUCCAGCUGGCUAAUACCCGGUUGGGAUGACGGUACCCAAAGAAUAAGCACCGGCUAACUUCGUGCCAGCAGCCGCGGUAAUACGAAGGGUGCAAGCGUUACUCGGAAUUACUGGGCGUAAAGCGUGCGUAGGUGGUCGUUUAAGUCCGUUGUGAAAGCCCUGGGCUCAACCUGGGAACUGCAGUGGAUACUGGGCGACUAGAGUGUGGUAGAGGGUAGCGGAAUUCCUGGUGUAGCAGUGAAAUGCGUAGAGAUCAGGAGGAACAUCCAUGGCGAAGGCAGCUACCUGGACCAACACUGACACUGAGGCACGA